CCUGAAGUUUCGCAAGGCUGGGCCUCGCCCAAAGAGUCUGAUAAAGCUGCAAAUUCCCAGGGUUGGGGCCUGCCAAAUUCCAGAGCCAGCCCAGAAGUUUCACAAGGCUGGGGCUCAGCCAAAGAGUCUGUAAAAGCAGCAAGUUCCCAGGGUUGGGGCUUACCAGAUUCAGAAGCCAGCAAUGGGAGUGAUAGGCAACAGCAAUGGGGACAACAAAGUGGAGAAUUUAAGAAAAAAAGAGCUGAAGGAUCAAGAGGUUGGGGUUCAAAAAGUGGAGACUGGAAAGGCAAGAACCGCCCUGCCAAGUCACCCGGAAAUGUCCAUGAUGAUUCUAGUAUGAGUGGGAUGUUUACAGCAACCAGACAGAGGUUGGAUGUGUUUACUUCUCAAGAGCAGGAUAUUCUCUCUGAAAUUGAGCCAUUAAUGCGGUCUAUCAGAAGAAUAAUACAUCUAUCUGGGUACAAUGAUGGGGAUCCACUGUCUGCUGCUGACCAGUCAUAUGUACUUGAUAAUGUCUUCAACUAUCAUCCAGAUAAAGUGGCAAAGAUGGGUGCCGGCAUUGAUCAUGUCACAGUUAGCAAGCACAGCAGUUUCCAGGAAAGCAGGUGCUUCUAUGUCGUUUCAACUGAUGGUAGCAAACAGGAUUUUUCCUACCGUAAAUGCCUAGAGAACUUCAUCAAGGGGAAGUAUCCUGACUUGGCUGAGGAAUUCAUAGAUAAAUAUUUCACUAAACCUCGUGCCAGAAGCAACCGCCAGCAGCAAAACUCUGUUUCAGAGAGGACUGGGGAUGAAAACCAGCAACAAAACCCUGAAUCAGGGAGAACUCUUGAUGACAAACAGCAGCAAAACCCUGCAUCAGAGAGAACUCUGGAUGACAACCAGCCGCAAAACCCCAUUGUGGAGGGAAAUGCAGAAUGAUAAUUGGUCGUAAGGUCAUUAGUGUGCCAACAUUUUCUGAGAUUUUUUUUCAGAUGCAGACAUUGGUAUCAUCUGCUAUUUUGAUUUGUACAGAUAAAGCAGAUGUUUCCUGUUCAUAUCUCAUGUGAAUUAUACUUUGAUCACUCCUUGCGAACUGCCAUUUUUUCUGCAAAGGUGCAGUUCUUAAUGUUCUUGUUAGACAGCUAGUGAUCUAACAGUAGACCUGUUAAUUGAAGUUGCCUGUCCAUAGCAAUAUAGUGAAAU
Molecule: unclassified non-coding RNA, 1182 nt
Filed under: Hevea brasiliensis (rubber tree)
Lineage: Eukaryota; Viridiplantae; Streptophyta; Magnoliopsida; Malpighiales; Euphorbiaceae
Source: RNAcentral